Molecule: ribosomal RNA, 207 nt
Filed under: uncultured bacterium
Lineage: Bacteria
Description: partial 16S ribosomal RNA
Rfam family: Bacterial small subunit ribosomal RNA
Source: RNAcentral
UGCGUAGGCGGCGCAGAAAGUAGGGUGUGAAAUCCCUCGGCUCAACCGAGGAACUGCGCCCUAAACUACUGUGCUUGAGGGAGGUAGAGGUGAGCGGAACUUAGGGUGGAGCGGUGAAAUACGUUGAUAUCCUAAGGAACACCGGUGGCGAAAGCGGCUCACUGGACCUCUUCUGACGCUGAGGCACGAAAGCUAGGGUAGCGAACG